Molecule: transfer RNA, 75 nt
Filed under: Nostoc sp. HG1
Lineage: Bacteria; Bacillati; Cyanobacteriota; Cyanophyceae; Nostocales; Nostocaceae
Description: tRNA-OTHER
Rfam family: tRNA
About the family: Transfer RNA (tRNA) molecules are approximately 80 nucleotides in length. Their secondary structure includes four short double-helical elements and three loops (D, anti-codon, and T loops). Further hydrogen bonds mediate the characteristic L-shaped molecular structure. tRNAs have two regions of fundamental functional importance: the anti-codon, which is responsible for specific mRNA codon recognition, and the 3' end, to which the tRNAs corresponding amino acid is attached (by aminoacyl-tRNA synthetases). tRNAs cope with the degeneracy of the genetic code in two manners: having more than one tRNA (with a specific anti-codon) for a particular amino acid; and 'wobble' base-pairing, i.e. permitting non-standard base-pairing at the 3rd anti-codon position.
Source: RNAcentral
GGGCUAUUAGCUCAGGUGGUUAGAGCGCACCCUGAUAAGGGUGAGGUCCCUGGUCGAGUCCAGGAUGGCCCACCU